This 494-nucleotide ribosomal RNA is filed under the name uncultured bacterium. RNAcentral's name for it is "partial 16S ribosomal RNA". It matches the Rfam family "Bacterial small subunit ribosomal RNA", at positions 28 to 507 of the family's 1533-position model. The record is from RNAcentral.
GACGAACGCUGGCGGCGCGCUUAACACAUGCAAGUCGAACGGAAAGGCCUGCUUUCCCUUGUGGAUUGCGGGUACUCGAGUGGCGAACGGGUGAGUAACACGUGAGUGAUCUGCCCCCAACUUGGGUAUAAGCCUGGGAAACUGGGUCUAAUUCCCGAUAGGACUGCAGGGUGGUGGCUGUGGUGGAAAACGAUUUUCUAGUGGUUGGGGAUGAGCUCGCGGCCUAUCAGCUUGUUGGUGGGGUAAUGGCCUACCAAGGCGGCGACGGGUAGCCGGCCUGAGAGGGUGGACGGCCACAUUGGGACUGAGAUACGGCCCAGAAUCCUACGGGAGGCAGCAGUGGGGAAUAUUGCACAAUGGGCGGAAGCCUGAUGCAGCGACGCCGCGUGGGGGAUGACGGCCUUCGGGUUGUAAACUCCUUUCGACCGCGAGGAAGCCACCUGGUUGGAAGGGUGGUGACGGUAGUGGUAGAAGAAGCACCGGCUAACUACGUG